Molecule: transfer-messenger RNA, 294 nt
Filed under: Rhodocyclaceae bacterium
Lineage: Bacteria; Pseudomonadati; Pseudomonadota; Betaproteobacteria; Rhodocyclales; Rhodocyclaceae
Rfam family: Betaproteobacteria transfer-messenger RNA
About the family: Bacterial tmRNA, also known as 10Sa RNA or SsrA, is named for its dual tRNA and mRNA-like properties. Its role is to liberate the mRNA from a stalled ribosome. To accomplish this part of the tmRNA is used as a reading frame that ends in a translation stop signal.
Source: RNAcentral
AGCGAAUUAUAGGCUUGAGAAAUCCCGGACAUGCCCCAUAAUACGAACAUAGUCGUAAUUCCGGCAAACCGGAUGCGUUUCGGACGGCGGUUCGAUUCCGCCCACCUCCACCACUGGGGGGGUGCACUGGCUUCGACGGGGCGAACAAGGCUAGCAGGCGACUCGUCAGGCGAUCGACGUUAAUGAAGCAAAUCUCUAAACGCCAACGAUGAGCGUUUUGCACUGGCCGCUUAAGGCCUAUGCCGAGGCUGCUUGAGCCUUGUAAUCAAAGAAAAGCCGGCGGGGGCUUGGUGA